CUCCAUGUAUCUUUGGGCCAACCAGCUGUGGCGGUCUCCCUUCCAAGCCACAGAAGAGCACAUUCCUGCUUCCUGGAAAAGCCCUCGCCACGUAGUUGGUACCAGAGACGCCGAUUAGCACAAGGAGCAUCC
Small nucleolar RNA from Rattus norvegicus (Norway rat), 132 nucleotides. Ensembl annotates it as small nucleolar RNA SNORA24. The record is from Ensembl. Lineage: Eukaryota; Metazoa; Chordata; Mammalia; Rodentia; Muridae.